This 304-nucleotide ribosomal RNA is filed under the name uncultured bacterium. RNAcentral's name for it is "bacterial SSU rRNA". It matches the Rfam family "Bacterial small subunit ribosomal RNA", at positions 28 to 333 of the family's 1533-position model. The record is from RNAcentral.
GACGAACGCUGGCGGCGUGCUUAACACAUGCAAGUCGAGCGGUAAGGCCCUUUCGGGGGUACACGAGCGGCGAACGGGUGAGUAACACGUGGGUGACCUGCCCCCAGCUCUGGGAUAAGCCUGGGAAACCGGGUCUAAUACCGGAUAUGACUCCAUGACGCAUGUUGUGGGGUGGAAAGCCUUGUGCGGCUGAGGAUGGGCCCGCGGCCUAUCAGCUUGUUGGGUGGGGUGAUGGCCACCAAGGCGACGACGGGUAGCCGGCCUGAGAGGGCGACCGGCCACACUGGGACUGAGACACGGCCCA